CACACGACUCUCGGCAACGGAUAUCUCGGCUCUCGCAUCGAUGAAGAACGUAGCGAAAUGCGAUACCUGGUGUGAAUUGCAGAAUCCCGCGAACCAUCGAGUCUUUGAACGCAAGUUGCGCCCGAGGCCAUUCGGCCGAGGGCACGCCUGCCUGGGCGUCACGC
RNAcentral lists this ribosomal RNA (164 nucleotides) under Avena sativa (oats). Its description in RNAcentral is "5.8S ribosomal RNA". It matches the Rfam family "5.8S ribosomal RNA". Rfam says of the family: 5.8S ribosomal RNA (5.8S rRNA) is a component of the large subunit of the eukaryotic ribosome. It is transcribed by RNA polymerase I as part of the 45S precursor that also contains 18S and 28S rRNA. RNAcentral also lists the same sequence under 48 other names. The record is from RNAcentral. Lineage: Eukaryota; Viridiplantae; Streptophyta; Magnoliopsida; Poales; Poaceae.